AUACGGAGGGUCCGAGCGUUAUCCGGAAUCAUUGGGUUUAAAGGGUCCGUAGGCGGGAAUCUAAGUCAGUGGUGAAAUCUUGCAGCUCAACUGUAACAUUGCCAUUGAUACUGGAUUUCUUGAAUUAGUGUGAAGUGGUUAGAAUGUGUAGUGUAGCGGUGAAAUGCAUAGAUAUUACACAGAAUACCAAUUGCGAAGGCAGAUCACUAACACUAUAUUGACGCUAAGGGACGAAAGCGUGGGGAGCGAACAGGAUUAGAAACCCCAGUAGUCC
Molecule: ribosomal RNA, 274 nt
Filed under: uncultured bacterium
Lineage: Bacteria
Description: partial 16S ribosomal RNA
Rfam family: Bacterial small subunit ribosomal RNA
Source: RNAcentral